This 468-nucleotide ribosomal RNA is filed under the name uncultured bacterium. RNAcentral's name for it is "partial 16S ribosomal RNA". It matches the Rfam family "Bacterial small subunit ribosomal RNA", at positions 28 to 507 of the family's 1533-position model. The record is from RNAcentral.
GACGAACGCUGGCGGCGUGCUUAACACAUGCAAGUCGAACGGAAAGGCCCUGCUUUUGUGGGGUGCUCGAGUGGCGAACGGGUGAGUAACACGUGAGUAACCUGCCCUUGACUUUGGGAUAACUUCAGGAAACUGGGGCUAAUACCGGAUAGGAGCUCCUGCUGCAUGGUGGGGGUUGGAAAGUUUCGGCGGUUGGGGAUGGACUCGCGGCUUAUCAGCUUGUUGGUGGGGUAGUGGCUUACCAAGGCUUUGACGGGUAGCCGGCCUGAGAGGGUGACCGGCCACAUUGGGACCGAGAUACGGCCCAGCCUCCUACGGGAGGCAGCAGGGGGGAAUAUUGCACAAUGGGCGGAAGCCUGAUGCAGCAACGCCGCGUGCGGGAUGACGGCCUUCGGGUUGUAAACCGAUUUCGCCUGUGACGAAGCGUGAGUGACGGUAAUGGGUAAAGAAGCACCGGCUAACUACGUG